GAAAGAUAUUAGUUAUAGCUAUGUUCACCUUUCUUCUAUUCGUAUAUGAUGAAAGAAUGCUACUAGAUCAGACAUGUUAUUUGCGUGGCUUCUACAGAUGAUGUAAUGUAUCCAUCGAGCUUUCUUAUUCUUAUAUCUUGGCUUUCUUGAUUAUAAAUUUUUUCUCACUCUUUUCCCUUUUUUUUUUAUUUUCUUUGUUUCAUGAUGUUUG
This 211-nucleotide unclassified non-coding RNA is filed under the name Hevea brasiliensis (rubber tree). The record is from RNAcentral. Lineage: Eukaryota; Viridiplantae; Streptophyta; Magnoliopsida; Malpighiales; Euphorbiaceae.